RNAcentral lists this ribosomal RNA (492 nucleotides) under uncultured bacterium. Its description in RNAcentral is "partial 16S ribosomal RNA". It matches the Rfam family "Bacterial small subunit ribosomal RNA", at positions 29 to 507 of the family's 1533-position model. The record is from RNAcentral.
AGUGAACGCUGGCGGUAGGCCUAACACAUGCAAGUCGAACGGCAGCACAGUAAGAGCUUGCUCUUACGGGUGGCGAGUGGCGGACGGGUGAGGCAUACAUCGGAAUCUACUUUUUCGUGGGGGAUAACGUAGGGAAACUUACGCUAAUACCGCAUACGACCUACGGGUGAAAGCAGGGGAUCUUCGGACCUUGCGCGAUUGAAUGAGCCGAUGUCGGAUUAGCUAGUUGGCGGGGUAAAGGCCCACCAAGGCGACGAUCCGUAGCUGGUCUGAGAGGAUGAUCAGCCACACUGGAACUGAGACACGGUCCAGACUCCUACGGGAGGCAGCAGUGGGGAAUAUUGGACAAUGGGCGCAAGCCUGAUCCAGCAAUACCGCGUGGGUGAAGAAGGCCUUCGGGUUGUAAAGCCCUUUUGUUGGGAAAGAAAAGCAGCAGGUGAAUACCCCGCUGUUCUGACGGUACCCAAAGAAUAAGCACCGGCUAACUUCGUG